This 23-nucleotide small nuclear RNA is filed under the name Arabidopsis thaliana (thale cress). RNAcentral describes it as "snRNA_15750". The record is from RNAcentral. Lineage: Eukaryota; Viridiplantae; Streptophyta; Magnoliopsida; Brassicales; Brassicaceae.
UUUCAUUCUGUCAUCGAUGAUUU